RNAcentral lists this microRNA precursor (65 nucleotides) under Scyliorhinus torazame (cloudy catshark). Its description in RNAcentral is "Sto-Mir-17-P2c_pre stem-loop". It matches the Rfam family "mir-17 microRNA precursor family", at positions 11 to 70 of the family's 80-position model. From Rfam's summary of the family: This family represents the microRNA (miRNA) precursor mir-17, family, which includes mir-20, mir-91, and mir-103. miRNAs are transcribed as ~70nt precursors (modelled here) and subsequently processed by the Dicer enzyme to give a ~22nt product. Lineage: Eukaryota; Metazoa; Chordata; Chondrichthyes; Carcharhiniformes; Scyliorhinidae. The record is from RNAcentral.
UAAGGUGCAUCUAGUGCAGUUAGUGAUGUAGCUUAGAAUCUACUGCCCUAAGUGCUCCUUCUGGC